UGAUUAGUUAUUGAAAGAAAUAUUUACAUUUGCCUUCUAUUUAUAUUUAUUAUUUAUAAAAAUAAUCAUAAAUUUUAUUUAAUGGAUAAAAGAAGCAUGAAAAAGAACUUCAUAUUUUUUUAAUUAUUUAUAAUAAAAAUAUUUCUUCUCAUUUAAAUUUAUUUUAUUAUUAUAAAAAAUCACAAAGUUAACUUUGUUAAUAUGUUUUAAAUUGAUAUUAAUAUUGUAAAAAUAUUAUUUAAAUUUUUAAAAAUUAUUUAGGAAUAUUUAGAGAAAAUUUAAGACUUUAAUAAAAUUGAGUUUUACUACCUCGGGGGCUAUAAUAAAGAAAUGGAGCAAGAUUUA
Molecule: long non-coding RNA, 345 nt
Filed under: Physcomitrium patens
Lineage: Eukaryota; Viridiplantae; Streptophyta; Bryopsida; Funariales; Funariaceae
Description: long non-coding RNA (PPAT_LNC004962)
Source: RNAcentral